CCCUGUCUGCAGUGCGUGCCGGGCUUUAUAUUUCCUUGAACCAAUGCUCCAUGAGCCCGGGCUUGGUACAUAACGUGGCUGGUGUGAGCGUCUCGCGUCAGAUGAACCCGAAGCCCCGUUGCCCUCGCCCACCUGAACCCCCGGUUCAGGAUGACGGUCCGGUGGCACUUGCAGACACCUA
Hydrogenophaga sp. H7 is the source of this 181-nucleotide non-coding RNA. It matches the Rfam family "6S / SsrS RNA". From Rfam's summary of the family: E. coli 6S RNA was the first non coding RNA to be sequenced, but its function was unknown until recently. It consists of 184 nucleotides that fold into an extended hairpin structure with a large single-stranded internal bulge. NCBI's taxonomy places the organism in Bacteria, Pseudomonadati, Pseudomonadota, Betaproteobacteria, Burkholderiales, Comamonadaceae. The record is from Rfam.